This 126-nucleotide small RNA is filed under the name Marmota monax (woodchuck). The record is from RNAcentral. Lineage: Eukaryota; Metazoa; Chordata; Mammalia; Rodentia; Sciuridae.
GCUGGGUGCAGUGGUGCACACCUGUAAUCCCAGUGGCUCGGGAGGCUGAGGCAGGAGGAUUGGAGUUUAAGGUCAGACUCAGCAAUUUAGUCAGGACCUAAGCAACCCAAGGAAACCCUGUCUGUA